This 305-nucleotide ribosomal RNA is filed under the name uncultured bacterium. RNAcentral describes it as "bacterial SSU rRNA". It matches the Rfam family "Bacterial small subunit ribosomal RNA", at positions 330 to 655 of the family's 1533-position model. The record is from RNAcentral.
UUCAGCCUACGGGGGGCAGCAGUAGGGAAUCUUCCACAAUGGGCGAAAGCCUGAUGGAGCAACGCCGCGUGGGUGAAGAAGUAUUUCGGUAUGUAAAGCUCUAUCAGCAGGGAAGAGAAUGACGGUACCUGACUAAGAAGCCCCGGCUAACUACGUGCCAGCAGCCGCGGUAAUACGUAGGGGGCAAGCGUUAUCCGGAUUUACUGGGUGUAAAGGGAGCGUAGACGGCUGGCCAAGUCUGAAGUGAAAGCCCGGGGCUUAACCCCGGAACGGCUUUGGAAACUGGCCGGCUGGAGUGCUGGAGG